UGGGGAAUAUUGGACAAUGGGGGCAACCCUGAUCCAGCAAUGCCGCGUGUGUGAAGAAGGCCUGCGGGUUGUAAAUCACUUUUGGCAGGGAUGAAAAGCACUGGAUUAAUAACCCAGUGUGUUGACCUAACCUGCAGAAGAAGCACCGGCUAACUCUGUGCCAGCAGCCGCGGUAAUACAGGGGGUGCGAGCGUUAAUCGGAAUUACUGGGCGUAAAGGGCGCGUAGGCGGUCGAGUAAGUCGGAUGUGAAAUCCCCGGGCUUAACCUGGGAAUUGCAUUCGAUACUGCUUGGCUAGAGUGUGGAAGAGGGAAGCGGAAUUUCCGGUGUAGCGGUGAAAUGCGUAGAUAUCGGAAGGAACACCAGUGGCGAAGGCGGCUUCCUGGUCCAACACUGACGCUGAGGCGCGAAAGCCAGGGGAGCAAA
RNAcentral lists this ribosomal RNA (425 nucleotides) under uncultured bacterium. RNAcentral's name for it is "bacterial SSU rRNA". It matches the Rfam family "Bacterial small subunit ribosomal RNA", at positions 355 to 772 of the family's 1533-position model. The record is from RNAcentral.